AUGUCCGUCGCCACCGCCCACCACCUCCGCCCGUCGCCACCGGCGGCCCGCGACCGCCUCCCCGGAUGCGCCGCGCGCGCCUCCUUCCGGCCCCUGCGCCGCCGCGGAGUCGCCGCGGGGGCGACCGCCGCCGUGUCGGCGGUCGCCGCGACCGCCAAGAGGGAUCCCCGGGAUUGCAGGGUGCGGCGCCACACGAUUUCCGUGUUCGUCGGGGACGAGAGCGGCAUGAUAAACAGGAUUGCCGGGGUGUUCGCAAGGAGAGGCUACAACAUCGAGUCACUCGCCGUGGGGCUCAACAAGGACAAGGCCCUCUUCACCAUCGUCGUCUCAGGGACGGAUAGGGUGCUCAAGCAAGUCAUUGAGCAGCUCAAUAAGCUCGUCAACGUCUUGAAUGUUGAGGAUCUAUCUAAGGAGCCUCAGGUUGAAAGAGAGCUCAUGCUUAUAAAACUCAGUGUUGAACCAGAUCAACGUGCUGAUGUCAUGUUUGUAGCUAAUGUUUUCAGAGCGAAAGUUGUUGAUAUUUCUGAGAACAGCCUAACUCUGGAGGUAACUGGAGAUCCUGGGAAAAUCGUUGCGGCACAAAGGAACCUAAGCAAAUUUGGGAUCGAAGAAAUUUGUCGAACGGGAAAAAUUGCUUUGAGGCGUGAAAAGAUCGGAGCAACUGCUCGUUUCUGGGGGUUUUCUGCUGCUUCUUACCCAGACCUUGUAGAAGCAUCGCGCAAAAAUCCUCUUACCUCUGUGAAUAAGACGGUUAAUGGCAGUUUUGAUCAACCAUCCAGUGCCGGGGGUGAUGUUUAUCCUGUGGAACCUUAUGAGAGCUUGUCCAUGAACCAAGUACUUGAUGCCCAUUGGGGUGUUCUUGAUGAUGAAGAUUCAAGCGGGCUUCGCUCACAUACUCUCUCCAUCCUUGUGAAUGAUUGUCCUGGUGUCCUCAACAUUAUAACAGGGGUCUUUGCUCGCAGGGGAUACAGUAUACAGAGCCUUGCUGUUGGCCCAGCUGAAAAGGAAGGCAUUUCACGUAUUACAACAGUUGUUCCUGGAACUGAUGAAUCCAUUGGGAAGUUAGUGCAGCAGCUUUACAAGCUUAUCGAUGUACAUAAGGUUGAUGACUUAACUGACUUACCUUUUGCCGAAAGAGAACUGAUGGUUAUCAAAGUAUCUGGAAACACAGCUGCUCGGAGGGAGAUACUAGAUAUUGGUAAUAUCUUCCGGGCAGAAUGUGUGGAUCUUUCUGAUCACACAGUUACGCUACAGCUCACUGGGGAUCUUGACAAGAUGGUUGCACUACAAAGACUGUUAGAGCCUUAUGGCAUAUGUGAGGUCGCGAGAACAGGUCGGGCAGCGCUAAUCCGUGAAUCCAGGGUUGACUCCAAGUACCUCCGCGGCUAUUCUCUUCCACUGUAA
Molecule: ribosomal RNA, 1404 nt
Filed under: Triticum aestivum (bread wheat)
Lineage: Eukaryota; Viridiplantae; Streptophyta; Magnoliopsida; Poales; Poaceae
Description: partial small subunit ribosomal RNA
Source: RNAcentral